GUAUGCCCUUUUGCUACGGUGGAGGGGAACCCCCGACGAGACGCGCCGUACCGGGUAGCUGGCUGAAAAGACGACGCACCCC
This 82-nucleotide non-coding RNA is filed under the name Streptomyces sp. Mg1. Lineage: Bacteria; Bacillati; Actinomycetota; Actinomycetes; Kitasatosporales; Streptomycetaceae. The record is from RNAcentral.